AAUGAACGCUGGCGGCGCGCCUAAUACAUGCAAGUCGAGCGAGAAGACGUAGCAAUACGUUUGUAAAGCGGCGAACGGGUGAGGAAUACAUGGGUAACCUACCCUCGAGUGGGGAAUAACUAGCCGAAAGGUUAGCUAAUACCGCGUACGCUUCUUGGACUUCGGUUCAGGGAGGAAAGCGAUGCCGAGGGUAUCGCGCUCUUGGAUGGGCUCAUGUCCUAUCAGCUUGUUGGNGAGGUAACGGCUCACCAAGGCUUCGACGGGUAGCUGGUCUGAGAGGACGAUCAGCCAC
RNAcentral lists this ribosomal RNA (292 nucleotides) under uncultured bacterium. Its description in RNAcentral is "partial 16S ribosomal RNA". It matches the Rfam family "Bacterial small subunit ribosomal RNA", at positions 29 to 311 of the family's 1533-position model. The record is from RNAcentral.